CCUACGGGAGGCAGCAGUGGGGAAUAUUGGGCAAUGGAGGAAACUCUGACCCAGCGACGCCGCGUGCGGGAUGAAGGCCUUCGGGUUGUAAACCGCUUUCAGUAGGGAAGAAGCGAAAGUGACGGUACCUACAGAAGAAGCACCGGCUAACUAUGUGCCAGCAGCCGCGGUAAUACAUAGGGUGCAAGCGUUGUCCGGAAUUAUUGGGCGUAAAGAGCUCGUAGGUGGUUCGUCACGUCGGAUGUGAAAAUCUGGGGCUCAACCCCAGACCUGCAUUCGAUACGGGCGAUCUAGAGUGUGGUAGGGGAGACUGGAAUUCCUGGUGUAGCGGUGGAAUGCGCAGAUAUCAGGAGGAACACCAAUGGCGAAGGCAGGUCUCUGGGCCAUUACUGACACUGAGGAGCGAAAGCGUGGGGAGCGGAACAGGAUUAGAUACCCUGGUAGUCCACGCCGUAAACGGUGGGCACUAGUUGUGGGAACCUUCCACGGUUUCUGCGACGCAGCUACGCAUAGUAGCCCGCCGUCGGGAGGUACGANCGCAGAUAAACUACAAUAGAGUAGACGCGNGAGACGUGCCGACGACGACGACGAGGGAGGUAGG
Molecule: ribosomal RNA, 601 nt
Filed under: uncultured bacterium
Lineage: Bacteria
Description: bacterial SSU rRNA
Rfam family: Bacterial small subunit ribosomal RNA (bases 1-522)
Source: RNAcentral